GUUCGUAUAAGAAAAAAAAAACCGUUAAGUAACUUGUUUUUUUUUUUUAAAUUGAGCAUGAGAAAUCAAGCGAUUGACCUACUUGUUUGCCUUGCAUAUUUACCCAAUACGCCCGUUUCCGUGAGUUAUUUUUGAGCCUUAUAGCUUUAGAUUAUUUUUGCUCAUGUUUUUGCGGGCAAAGAUUGAGUGAGCCGGAUAACUUUUGCGAUUUAGAACUUGUGUUAGGUAUGCAUUUCGAGGCCACAAAGCGAGAAAACAAGCAUAGAAGUGAUUGAGGCAUUAGGAAACCUUUUCAUUUUAGCCAUUUUCAUUCACCUCCCUACCCGAAUUAUUCCCCUAGUUAAACCAAUUUGAGCCUUUCCCGUUCGUUUCUUGAAAACCCCAAAACAUUAGCCACUUAGCCAAAUUAGCCUUUUAUAUUUUUAGCCCAUUUUUGGUUGGAAGCCCGGUUCGGUUAUGAUUAACUUAUAGCUUUUGUAUAGUUCUUCUUAGUUGUUAUAUCCCUCAUGUUCAAGAGUUUUUAGCUAGGUAGACGUACUUAGUUCUCUCCAAAGCAUGGGUUAGUUCUUGUAAAAAAAAAAAAACUAAAGAAAUAUAGUUGAAAAAGCCUUAUCAAAUGGCUUUGUUAGAGCGAUUUUGGGAGCAAAAAGAAAUACUUGUUGGUUAGCUCUCGGUUAGUUACUAUUUAGUUGUAUAGUUCUAUUUUUCUUAUGCUUCAAGUUAGUCAAACCGUCGGGUUACAACCAUUUUAGCCACUUUUCAAAAUCCUCUUCCACACCCUUAACCCAAGCCAAGCUACAACCCAACAAGACCUCAUGAUUUAUGCUAUAUUUUUGCCGAGUGAUUAGAUUUGAUCCUUCCACAAGCUUAUGAUAUCGCAUAGUUAUCGUCUGGGCAUCGAGUGUUCUAAACAUACUCCAUGAAUUGUAUGUGCACCUAUAUUAAGCCGAGUGUGUGUGAACAUUGUGAGGAUGCUUGGUGAAUUGGUAGGGAUUUCUAAGAUGGACCAUUGCUCAUAAACUUAUUUUACAUAUCUCUUUUCGGUUGUUUCUUUAUAUUGAGCACUCCUUGAUUGUUUUGACCCGAGUUAUUUGUUUGUGCUUAUGAAAUGCUAGUUGAGAUGAUUGCCAUUUAGAGAGUUUUGUUGAUUUUAGUUUGCUUGAGGACAAGCAAAGUUCAAGUGUGGGGAUGUUUGAUGUAUAAGAAUUUAUACAUCUUUUAAACGUCAAAUACGCCCCGUUUAUGCGAAAACUCUUUGUAUUUUCAUUGAUUUUGGUACUCAUUUGAGUUGUUUGUGAAAAUACAGGUCCGGGCUUCAGCCCGGUGAUGAAACGGAAGCUUUUGGAGCAAAAUGGAGCUAAAAUGGUGCAUUCCAGCAAACUGCCAGAUAUGGCACUACCGUGCCAAACAGUGGCACGACCGUGCCAAGCCCUCCGACAUCGGCACUCUCAUCCAGCACUAGCACAUUUCGGCCAAACCAUCGAAAUCAGGAGACGCACGACCGUGCCAACCACUGGCACGACCGUGCCAGACCAAAAUCAGCCCCUGAUCAGCCCGUUUCCAAGAUCAGUUCAAUCGUCAUCAAGCACUAUCGGCUCGCACGACCAGAGCAUCAUCGAGCACGGUCGUGCGACCUCGGGAACAUUUGAGCGGGAUUUUUCCAGAAAUGGUAGCAAACAAGAUUGACAGACGAAAAGUGACUCUGACACUUGCCAAGCACGACCGUGCCAAAAGGUGGCAUGGUAGUGCCAAACGCCCAGCAGUUUAAAUACAAGUUUCUAGCUCAUUUGCAAGGGAGUGGGAGUAUUUUGGUGACUUUUUCUCUCAAGAAUCUGGUCUUGGAAGCUUGUUGGAGCCAAGAGGGAGCCUUGAAGAGGAUUAAAUCACUUGAAGAUCUACUCAAACACCAUUUAAUUCUUGUCUUUAACUUGGUUUCUCAUGGAUUAAAAUCAAAGGUUAUUGCUCCUCAUUGUGAUGUUCUUUUAUCUUAGAUACUUUUGGCUGAGACAUCUUAAAAGAAAAAAGAGAUAAUACCUCGGUUAUGUCUGGACACCAUUUUACUUUAGAUUUGUUGCAAGGGAAUGAUACGUGAUGCAUUGAACUCCUACGUAUGUCACGUGAUUCUUUUGUUCGACUUUGCACACAUUUUAGACUAAAAGGUUGGCUAAAAGAUAGUAAACAUGUAUCCCUUGAAGAAAAAAUGGCUAUGUUUUUUAUGAUGCUUGGUCGCAAUCAACGUUUUUCGGCUGUUAAGCAUAGAUUUCAACAUUCGACACAAACAAUUCAUAAGUAUUUUCAUGUAGUAUUGUCAAGAAUGAUGGAGUUUGCUAAAGAGGUUAUUGUACCAACAUCUUUUAAUCCUAAUCCAAAUAUUCCGGGGCAUCAUAAGAGAUUAUGAAAAGUUUUUAAGGGAGCGAUUGGUGCACUUGAUGGUACUUUGAUACAUGCUAUUGUCCCUGUUGAGAAACAACAUUUAUACAGGGGAAAGGGGAAGAGGAAAAGGUGACUGCUAUCAAAAUGUUUUGGCCAUAUGUGACUUCAACAUGAUGUUUACGUUUCUCGUGGCCGGAUGGAAAGGAGUGGCACAUGAUUCUAGAAUAUUGUCCGAAUCUUUAACAAAUGCAAAUGCACCAUUUCCAUUUCCUCCUCCGGAUAAAUAUUAUCUAUGUGAUGCUUCUUAUGCACACACUCGAGGCUUUAUGGCACCAUAUAGAAACGACAAGGAAAAAUUCAACCACGCACAUGCAAAGCUUAGAAAUGUUGUUGAACGUGUGUAUGGUGUAUUAAAAGCACAUUUUCCAAUAUUAAAGAAAAUGGCUCCCUUUUCGUUGGUUACGCAACGAAAUAUUACCGUUGCAUGUUUUGCGCUUCACAAUUUUAUACGGAAAAGGGUUUAUGUGACAACUGUC
Helianthus annuus (common sunflower) is the source of this 2909-nucleotide long non-coding RNA. RefSeq lists it as uncharacterized. The record is from RefSeq and is a predicted model, not a curated record. NCBI's taxonomy places the organism in Eukaryota, Viridiplantae, Streptophyta, Magnoliopsida, Asterales, Asteraceae. The transcript has 4 exons.